Spodoptera litura is the source of this 1490-nucleotide long non-coding RNA. RefSeq lists it as uncharacterized. The record is from RefSeq and is a predicted model, not a curated record. NCBI's taxonomy places the organism in Eukaryota, Metazoa, Arthropoda, Insecta, Lepidoptera, Noctuidae.
UAUAAACAUCAUUGUAUGGUGGUUUGCAGUCGGAAUAUCCUUGAUAUCCCCUUUAUAUCAUACAGCUGCUUUCUAUACGCUUUUGUUAUUAAUACUAGAAUUAAAAUGAGCCCCAGAUGAACCCCUAUGAGAAUACAGCGACGCGCCGCUGAAUGUUAGUAUUCAUGCAAUUUUGAUACAGCGUGGACUGUUACUAACAUACAACAACCCCGUCGGUGAGAGUGCAGCUCAACUCCGUGUUGCGUCGAAGCUUUUUAAAAUCAAUAAUCGGACAUUCGGCCGCCAUACCAGCAGCUUCCGCGAUCUACGUAUUUUCCACAUUUUACCGACUAAAGGAUCUUCUAGGUAUACAUCACCAGUUAAGAUGACUUACGAUCCUGAGAGUCUCACCUGCCUCUCUCGCUACAACUGGCCGGGAGUAGCAGAAGUUAACAUCCGCAACUCAGCCGAUCCGCGCUUAGUGCGUGGCCCCGCUCCUAACAGUAUCGCUGAAUAUUUUAAUAUGGCGCCCGUACGUCGAAUCUCGGAUUCCAUUUAUGUGGUCAUCCGCGGGCAGGCCGCCAACCAAGUCUGGCCUCGCCCUACCGCAGAUGAAGUUAUUCGCCGCAUCUUGCAUCUGUAAAUUCGCACUCACACAAGUGAGCCCCCUCCCUCUGUCCUAUUAGCGUCUCUUCAUCUAAACCGUGGCUUAAAUUAUAUAUGUCAUCUACUCUUCGCAAAUUUCCACAAGCUAUUUCGCGCGUCUAUCCUAUCUGGUUAGUUAUAUUUUGAGAUUUGUUUGAUUCAUUCAAUGUGUGUUAAAAGUUGUGGUUUCGCUGGCGAAGCUACGCAGGUAUGAGUAAGUUGUCUUUGUCAUGUUUGUGUUUGUGUAAUUUUGAUAAAUUUUGGUCAUACCUUCAUUAGUUUUGAUUUAUAUAAGUGAUCUUAGUGAUAAUUAAGCUAUGUUUAAGUCAGUAUAAGUAAAGGAUAUUUUCUAUUAAAAUUAAGAUUAAAUUUGUAUUUUCACAAAUUCUUCCGCUUUCUAUCCCCUAAUAAAAAAGGAAAAAAAGAUUGGUGUUUCAUUUAGCAUAACUUUAAACGGACAACAAGAUAAAAUGCACACAAUCAUUUUAGGAUAAUGUGCUUAGGUUAUCACUGUUAUUUCUUAUGCAAGCUACUUUAUUGUAUUAAAUCGUGGUAAGAUCAAAUAUUUGUAGAGAUACCUUUUAAUCUAGUAGGCACUGAGACCUUUGUAUCAAAAAAGGGUAUUGAAAAUAGAUCAAUAUUUUAUCACUAAUUAACACAUUAACAGUACUGUUUUACUCAUUUGUUCUAGUAUAGGUAAACAGGUGCCCCAUGACAAUGCCAACCAUACCUACAGUAAAUAGAUCUUUCCACUGGUUUGUGAUCUGAGGAAUCAGUGAAGUUCCUAUCAAUAAUUUUGUUGCCCAUUUUGUCAGGCAUUCAAGAUAAAUAGCUUUCUUCCUUUUAUGUACUCUAUUUAGUUUUCU